Molecule: transfer RNA, 71 nt
Filed under: Pseudanabaena sp. RU_4_16
Lineage: Bacteria; Bacillati; Cyanobacteriota; Cyanophyceae; Pseudanabaenales; Pseudanabaenaceae
Description: tRNA-Asn
Rfam family: tRNA
About the family: Transfer RNA (tRNA) molecules are approximately 80 nucleotides in length.
Source: RNAcentral
UCCUCAGUAGCUCAGUGGUAGAGCGAUCGACUGUUAAUCGAUUGGUCGCAAGUUCGAAUCUUGCUGGGGAG